Molecule: ribosomal RNA, 254 nt
Filed under: uncultured prokaryote
Description: partial 16S ribosomal RNA
Rfam family: Bacterial small subunit ribosomal RNA
Source: RNAcentral
UACGUAGGGGGCUAGCGUUAUCCGGAAUUACUGGGCGUAAAGGGUGCGCAGGUUGUUUGAUAAGUCAGUGGUGAAAGUCUGUCGCUUAACGGUAGGAUUGCCAUUGAUACUGUUAGACUUGAAUAUGGAUGAGGUAGGCGGAAUGUGUAGUGUAGCGGUGAAAUGCAUAGAUAUUACACAGAACACCGAUUGCGAAGGCAGCUUACUAAUCCAUCAUUGACGCUGAGGCACGAAAGCGUGGGGAUCAAACAGGA